AUGGGCGCCGGCUUGUUUGGCUAUUUAGAUCAAACCCUAGAGGAGCCUCCCAAAACCAUCUCCGCCAAAGACAAAGACGACAAGGACCAGGUGAUUCCAAACCCUGCCUAUGCCACCUGGCUGAUCCAGGAUCAACAAAUCGUUGCUUAUCUCCUCCGCAACCUGUCCAAAGAAGUUCUUGUCCAAGUUGCCUCGCUUGAAUCCUCCCAUGCGAUAUGGGCUGCAUUGGCGACUAUGUUCUCUGCCGUCUCGUUGUCCCGUGUCAACAACAUCCGAUUUGCGCUAACCAACGCG
This 294-nucleotide ribosomal RNA is filed under the name Triticum aestivum (bread wheat). RNAcentral's name for it is "partial small subunit ribosomal RNA". Lineage: Eukaryota; Viridiplantae; Streptophyta; Magnoliopsida; Poales; Poaceae. The record is from RNAcentral.